This is a long non-coding RNA of Manis pentadactyla (Chinese pangolin), 1049 nucleotides long. RefSeq lists it as uncharacterized. The transcript has 3 exons. NCBI's taxonomy places the organism in Eukaryota, Metazoa, Chordata, Mammalia, Pholidota, Manidae. The record is from RefSeq and is a predicted model, not a curated record.
UGUGAAUUUUUUAUUUUAGCCAAGAACUUUCUUCAGAGUUGAUUGAAAACCCUUUUGCCUAUUUCUUGGUGUGAUAGGAAAUGUAAAUUCCUCUUUAGGAAUGUGAUUUUGAAGCCACUUGUACUGUACAAAUCAAGUAGGAAGAAAACAAUGCUCAGGUCCACAAGGAUAAGAACAUACCACUCACAUCUGCUGGAACGGAAUUUUCGGUUGCAGUUGUUAGGAAUGCAGACAGUGGAGUUAAGAGGACCUGGAUGAGAGUGGCAAUAGAUGAGGAAACUUGACAGCUAAAAGCUUGGGGAAAUCUCCCAUAUUUACCAGUGAAUAAAUGUUAGAGCUUGAAUUCAAACUCAUGUGGGUAUAACUUCUACAUCGCUUGGCUUUUGCCUACAAGGUGUGCCCCCAUCAGAUCAAGGAGCACCAUGUUUCAGGAGAUUUUCCUUGAAUCUCCAUGUGUUCACCAACCUGGAACUUCUCCUAACCCCAUUCUUUUGGGUUUGUAUGGAGGCUUCAUUACAUGGGCAUGAUUGAUUAAAUCGUUGGCCACGCUCCUGCCCCUGCCUGUGUGUAAGGUAUAAAGGUAAGAUUCAAGUUCUUAAGUUGAGUAGUUUGGGCUUAUGCUUUAAAUUCACUUAUAUGUCACAACUCUUUUUUAUGUAUCAAAUAUUACAGAAUAAUGAAGACACACUUUAUGUGCUGGAAUGGAAUGAUGCCUACAAUAGACCAUUAAGUAAAGUAGCUAUAUCCUGGUUUAUGUGGGAUAGUCAUGGUUUAUACCUGUGGUAUUUUACCUAGUAUAAUUGCUAAUUGCACCAUCACAUGGGCCUGACUGAAAUGAUGAAUUAUAUGUUGACCCUAUUUUUAAGUAAUAAAACACAUGAUGCAGAAUAGUGCUUAUACUGUGCUUCAUUUUAUGUAAUAUGUCUAUUGAAUAGGUCUAUUCAAUAAUAAAUAUAAAAUUUAAAGAACAAAAGAAUUUUAGCCAACAUUUUGAAAAGGAAGACAUUUGGAAAUAAAAUACUUGGAAAAUAGGAUACUUUAUAAAUGGA